Molecule: ribosomal RNA, 466 nt
Filed under: uncultured bacterium
Lineage: Bacteria
Description: partial 16S ribosomal RNA
Rfam family: Bacterial small subunit ribosomal RNA
Source: RNAcentral
GAUGAACGCUGGCGGCGUGCUUAACACAUGCAAGUCGAACGGAAAGGCUCCUGCUUGCAGGGGCACUCGAGUGGCGAACGGGUGAGUAACACGUGGGUGAUCUGCCCUGCACUUCGGGAUAAGCCUGGGAAACUGGGUCUAAUACCGGAUAGGACCAUCGUUUAGUGUCGGUGGUGGAAAGUUUUUUCGGUGUGGGAUGAGCUCGCGGCCUAUCAGCUUGUUGGUGGGGUAAUGGCCUACCAAGGCGUCGACGGGUAGCCGGCCUGAGAGGGUGUACGGCCACAGUGGGACUGAGAUACGGCCCAGACUCCUACGGGAGGCAGCAGUGGGGAAUAUUGCACAAUGGGCGCAAGCCUGAUGCAGCGACGCCGCGUGGGGGAUGACGGCCUUCGGGUUGUAAACUCCUUUCGACAGGGACGAAGCGAAAGUGACGGUACCUGGAUAAGAAGCACCGGCUAACUACGUG